Molecule: ribosomal RNA, 1499 nt
Filed under: bacterium
Lineage: Bacteria
Description: bacterial SSU rRNA
Rfam family: Bacterial small subunit ribosomal RNA
Source: RNAcentral
GUACAUCCCCCGGUCACAGAGAUAACUCGGAGAAAUCCGAGAUAAUAUCUGAUGGUCUGGUAAUUGAAUUAUAAAAAGCAGUGAAAAAUUUUUAAAUUCCAGUUUUCAAUUUUAAAACAAAUUCAAAAUUUUAAAUUUAAAAUUGUUUGUGAUUUGGAGAUUGGUGCUUGAAACUUUCCAAAAUUGAUUUUUAUGAUUCAGUUACCAGUAAAGAUUUUGGGAAACCAAUUUCGGAUCGGGAGUGGCCUACGCCCUAUCAGCUAGUUGGUAAGGUAAUGGCUUACCAAGGCGAUGACGGGUAGGGGGCGUGAGAGCGUGUUCCCCAACGAUGGCACUGAGAUACGGGCCUUACUCCUACGGGAGGCUGCAGUCGAGAAUCUUCCACAAUGGGCGAAAGCCUGAUGGAGCGACGCCGCGUGUAUGAAGAAGUCCUUCGGGAUGUAAAGUACUUUUCUAAGGGAGCAAUUUUGAGUGUACCUUAGGAAUAAGGGGUUGCUAAACUCGUGCCAGCAGCAGCGGUAAUACGAGUGCCCCAAGCGUUGUCCGGAAUUACUGGGCGUAAAGCGUCUGUAGGGUGUUUAAUACGUCUUCUGUCAAAUUUCGAUGCUCAACAUCGAAACCGCAGGGGAAACGAUUAGACUAGAGAGCGUGAGAGGCUGAUGGAACUUAAGGAGUAGGGGUGAAAUCCGUUGAUACCUUAGGGAACACCAAAGGCGAAGGCAUUCAGCUGGUGCGUUUCUGACUCUGAGAGACGAAAGCGUGGGGAGCAAAAAGGAUUAGAUACCCUUGUAGUCCACGCCCUAAACUAUGAAUACUAGUUGUCUGAAGUAUCGACCCUUCAGGUGACGAAGCAAACGCGUUAAGUAUUCCGCCUGGGAAGUACGGUCGCAAGACUAAAACUCAAAGGAAUAGACGGGAGCUUGCACAAGCGGUGGAGCGUCUGGUUUAAUUCGACGACAAGCGUAGAACCUUACCAAGAUUUGAAAUUCUAAUGACAGUUCUGAGAAACCAGAAUUUUCUACAAGGACAUUAGAACAGGUGCUGCAUGGUUGUCGUCAGCUUGUGGCGUGAGUUGCUCCGUUAAUUCGGGUAACAAGCGCAACCCCUGUCGUCUGUUAUAUGUGUCAGACGAAACUGCCUCGUGAUACGAGGAGGAAGGUAGGGAUGACGCCAAAUCAGCAUGGCCCUUUGAUAUCUUGGGCAACACAGGCGCUACAAUGGCCAAUACAAUGGGUCGCUAAGCCGUAAGGUAGAGCCAAUCCCAUCAAAGUUGGUCUCAGUUCGGAUUGGGGUCUGCAAUUCGACCCCAUGAAGUUGGAAUCGCUAGUAAUCGCAGAUCAGCUACGCUGCGGUGAAUACGUUCUCAAGCUUUGUACUCACCGCCUGUCACACCAGAGAAGCCGGGAGUACCUGACAUCCCCUGCCUAGCGGGGGCUUAAGGUAAAUUCGGUGACUAGGGUGAAGUCAUAACAAGGCAUCCGUAGGGGAACCUGUGGAUG